This 498-nucleotide ribosomal RNA is filed under the name uncultured bacterium. RNAcentral describes it as "partial 16S ribosomal RNA". It matches the Rfam family "Bacterial small subunit ribosomal RNA", at positions 30 to 523 of the family's 1533-position model. The record is from RNAcentral.
AUUGAACGCUGGCGGCAUGCCUUACACACGCAAGUCGAACGGUAACAGGUCUUCGGAUGCUGACGAGUGGCGAACGGGUGAGUAAUACAUCGGAACGUGCCUAGUAGUGGGGGAUAACUACUCGAAAGAGUGGCUAAUACCGCAUGAGAUCUACGGAUGAAAGCAGGGGAUCGCAAGACCUUGUGCUACUAGAGCGGCCGAUGGCAGAUUAGGUAGUUGGUGGGAUAAAAGCUUACCAAGCCGACGAUCUGUAGCUGGUCUGAGAGGACGAUCAGCCACACUGGGACUGAGAAACGGCCCAGACUCCUACGGGAGGCAGCAGUGGGGAAUUUUGGACAAUGGGCGAAAGCCUGAUCCAGCAAUGCCGCGUGCAGGAUGAAGGCCUUCGGGUUGUAAACUGCUUUUGUACGGAACGAAAAGCCCCGGGUUAAUACCCUGGGGUCAUGACGGUACCGUAAGAAUAAGCACCGGCUAACUUCGUGCCAGCAGCCGCCGUAA